AGAGUUUGAUCCUGGCUCAGAUUGAACGCUGGCGGAAUGCUUUACACAUGCAAGUCGAACGGCAGCACGGGAGCUUGCUCCUGGUGGCGAGUGGCGAACGGGUGAGUAAUGCGUCGGAACGUACCGAGUAAUGGGGGAUAACGCACCGAAAGGUGUGCUAAUACCGCAUACGCCCUUAGGGGGAAAGCAGGGGAUCGCAAGACCUUGCGUUAUUCGAGCGGCCGACGUCUGAUUAGCUUGUUGGUGAGGUAAUGGCUCACCAAGGCGACGAUCAGUAGCGGGUCUGAGAGGAUGAUCCGCCACACUGGGACUGAGACACGGCCCAGACUCCUACGGGAGGCAGCAGUGGGGAAUUUUGGACAAUGGGGGCAACCCUGAUCCAGCCAUUCCGCGUGAGUGAAGAAGGCCUUCGGGUUGUAAAGCUCUUUCAGCAGGAACGAAACGGUACGCUCUAACAUAGCGUGCUAAUGACGGUACCUGCAGAAGAAGCACCGGCUAACUACGUGCCAGCAGCCGCGGUAAUACGUAGGGUGCGAGCGUUAAUCGGAAUUACUGGGCGUAAAGCGUGCGCAGGCGGAUUGUUAAGCAAGACGUGAAAUCCCCGGGCUUAACCUGGGAAUGGCGUUUUGAACUGGCAGUCUAGAGUGUGUCAGAGGGGGGUGGAAUUCCACGUGUAGCAGUGAAAUGCGUAGAGAUGUGGAGGAACACCAAUGGCGAAGGCAGCCCCCUGGGAUAACACUGACGCUCAUGUACGAAAGCGUGGGUAGCAAACAGGAUUAGAUACCCUGGUAGUCC
Molecule: ribosomal RNA, 795 nt
Filed under: uncultured bacterium
Lineage: Bacteria
Description: bacterial SSU rRNA
Rfam family: Bacterial small subunit ribosomal RNA
Source: RNAcentral